UGCAUAUCAAAAAAGCGGAGGAAAAGAAACCAACCGGGAUUGCCUUAGUAACGGCGAGUGAAGCGGCAAAAGCUCAAAUUUGAAAUCUGGUACCUUCGGUGCCCGAGUUGUAAUUUGGAGAGGGCAACUUUGGGGCCGUUCCUUGUCUAUGUUCCUUGGAACAGGACGUCAUAGAGGGUGAGAAUCCCGUGUGGCGAGGAGUGCGGUUCUUUGUAAAGUGCCUUCGAAGAGUCGAGUUGUUUGGGAAUGCAGCUCUAAGUGGGUGGUAAAUUCCAUCUAAAGCUAAAUAUUGGCGAGAGACCGAUAGCGAACAAGUACAGUGAUGGAAAGAUGAAAAGAACUUUGAAAAGAGAGUGAAAAAGUACGUGAAAUUGUUGAAAGGGAAGGGCAUUUGAUCAGACAUGGUGUUUUGUGCCCUCUGCUCCUUGUGGGUAGGGGAAUCUCGCAUUUCACUGGGCCAGCAUCAGUUUUGGUGGCAGGAUAAAUCCAUAGGAAUGUAGCUUGCCUCGGUAAGUAUUAUAGCCUGUGGGAAUACUGCCAGCUGGGACUGAGGACUGCGACGUAAGUCAAGGAUGCUGGCAUAAUGGUUAUAUGCCGCCCGUCUUGAAACCACGGACCA
RNAcentral lists this ribosomal RNA (619 nucleotides) under Saccharomyces cerevisiae (brewer's yeast). Its description in RNAcentral is "LSU rRNA". It matches the Rfam family "Eukaryotic large subunit ribosomal RNA", at positions 37 to 668 of the family's 3401-position model. Lineage: Eukaryota; Fungi; Ascomycota; Saccharomycetes; Saccharomycetales; Saccharomycetaceae. The record is from RNAcentral.